This 501-nucleotide ribosomal RNA is filed under the name uncultured bacterium. Its description in RNAcentral is "partial 16S ribosomal RNA". It matches the Rfam family "Bacterial small subunit ribosomal RNA", at positions 30 to 523 of the family's 1533-position model. The record is from RNAcentral.
AUUGAACGCUGGCGGCAGGCUUAACACAUGCAAGUCGAGCGGAGAGAGGUAGCUUGCUACUGAUCUUAGCGGCGGACGGGUGAGUAAUGCUUAGGAAUCUGCCUAUUAGUGGGGGACAACAUUUCGAAAGGAAUGCUAAUACAGCAUACGUCCUACGGGAGAAAGCAGGGGAUAUUCGGACCUUGCGCUAAUAGAUGAGCCUAAGUCGGAUUAGCUAGUUGGUGGGGUAAAGGGCUACCAAGGCGACGAUCUGUAGCGGGUCUGAGAGGAUGAUCCGCCACACUGGGACUGAGACACGGCCCAGACUCCUACGGGAGGCAGCAGUGGGGAAUAUUGGACAAUGGGCGGAAGCCUGAUCCAGCCAUGCCGCGUGUGUGAAGAAGGCCUUAUGGUUGUAAAGCACUUUAAGCGAGGAGGAGGCUACUUUAGUUAAUACCUAGAGAUAGUGGACGUUACUCGCAGAAUAAGCACCGGCUAACUCUGUGCCAGCAGCCGCCGUAA